GGGGGGGUGUGCACCUGAUGGCAGAGGUGCGUCCUCCGGGAGUGGCCUCUGUUCUGGCGUCCUGUCCUGUGGUUGGCUUCCCUUUGCUCUGUCGCCUGCCAGGGAACGCCCUCAGCUGCUGGUCUGUGGUGGCCGCCCCUCGGAGGUCCUGCCCUCCACUGGGGGUCCCCGCUGUGCAGUUGGGGACUCCGAGGGAGGGCCCAAGUGGGGGUUGCCUGAGGGCCCCCAUCGAUCUUACUGGCCCAUGGGGACCUGUGCAAGUGCAAGCAGGGGGAGGGUUGAGGUUGGCAGACCUGGCCCAAACUGUCCUCCCCCACCCACCAGAAAACAGGUCCCACCCCUCCCUGCACCCAGCAGGCCGUCGUGCGCCAGGUCUGGGUUUUCACGAGGAGCUCUGCUUUGCGAAGCUGCACUGGGACGUCAGAGGUGAGCACCAGGUGCCAGCAGCAUCAUCCACGGGGGAAACCGAGUCUGCCGAGGUGUUAGAGACGUGCCAUCUGCCCGUGCCUUCCUCUGGACGCUUGCACCCCCUAAGCCUUCCGGCCCCCAGCGGCUCCAGCACAUUCCAUUCCUUGCCCACGCAGACGGGCAUUCUGUGGUACCAGGCCCCUGGGUCCCCGGGCCCCAGACCCCACCCUCAUUCUGCACUCUGGGCUCCUGCCCCCUGGCCCCCAGUCCCCAGGGCCCCUGCCCUUCACCGUCACCUCGGUCCCCCCCCCCACCCCCCCCAACCCCCCACCCUGUGCACAGGCCCCGUGCAGAAGGGGAGCCAGGACUCUGGAGGAUGACUGUCACUCCAGAAAACCAGCCUUCGAGCCCAAGUAGGCUGUGCUUGUCCUUCCAAACUUAACUUUCAGAUUUAAUGAGGCUUCCUGUUCAAGAUGUCCAAGUGGGAACCCCUCGGAAGCGGAGCCCCGCAUCAGUUAUGACGGAGAAAGGCAAAUGCUAGCCUGAAAUAAAAAUAUCAGACAGAAAAAAAAAAAUCCUCUUUCGGAGUGAGGGGCCCUGGCUGGCUCUGCCACCAGGGAAGGUUCCAGAGACGUGCCCGUGCCAAAGGCAAAUUAAAACACACCCUGUCAAAAGAUUUCCGCUGUCUCCCAAGUAUUUAUUUUUCGGAACUUGGUGAAGGAGGGUUUAAUUAAGACACCCUGAGGCGGGAGCCUUGUACUGAGUGGAAAGAAGCCGGUGGUUCCUGGGAGUCCGUGAGGCCAGCUUGGAGCAGGCGUGGUGGAGCUUCGCCCCUCCCCAACCGGGCUGGGGUCAGGGGCUCCCCCGGCUGCACACCUUCAAGGGGCUGAGCCUUCUAGUAAAGCAUGAAAAGAGGGGCCUCGGGCUGGUUUCCCCAGGGCGUGGAAAGGGGUUGGAGGGACCCCCAAGAAGGUGCGGAGUUCUGGGAGGGAGGGUGUUCGAGGUCACAGGACUUGUUGCCGACGGCCCCCUGUGGCCCCUUGACUUCGAGUGAGUUGUGGAGGGGUCCGCGGUGCAUGUCUGAGCUGUGGGCUCAGCGCGGGGCCCGUGGGGGCCGAUGGGCGUGCGGUAGCCAGCCCCUGAUGUUCCUCUGUUUGGGCUCCUCCUCAGUCCACGCCAGCAACUUCCAGAAGCACCUCUGCCCACUGCCGGAGCCUAGCUCCCUCCUCAGGGACGUCAUCUAACACGAGUGCCACCCGUUCUUUUCAGAAGUGAAUUGUCUGCUUUAAUCACUGGGCGGGAGUCACAAGAAGGUGAGACACAGUGAUGGAUGGUGUUGGCCGCAAGCUCCCCGGCCUGUGAGAUAAGCAGUUUGGGUCAAAUCAGGGAUGUUGGACGCAGGCGCCUUCUGGGGCCUGGUCAGGAGGGGAGCGUGCAAGCUCCCGUGGGCGAGGCUGGAAGGAGUGCUGGUGCCUGAGGGAGGUGGGACAGAGGCCCCCCGUGGUCCCGACGGCCAGCCAGCGUCUUGCUGCCCCCAGACCUCUGCUGGCCCGAGAUGCACGCCCGAGCCCCGCUCUGUGGGUGCCAGUGUGCGCCGACCCGGACCUUCGGUUUCAAGGCUGUUUGUUACACAGCAUCAUCGAGGUGACUGGUAGACACAGCCUGCGGACCUCUGUGUGCGGCCUCUGGCCUGGGCAGUUUCCAGGACAGAAUCUGACUCCCAGAUGAAAGAAAACAAAGUCCCUGCACAUUGUCUCCCUGCAUCGGGCCCGACGGCCACGGAAUGUACCAGCACCGUGACUGUCUGCUUUCCUCUGCCCUGCAAGGGCAGCUCACCAGCUCGCAGGGCCACACAGAGCCGCGUCUCCCUCUGGGGUGCGGGCGUGGAAGUGCUCGUGGCCCGGAGCCGAGGGUGCCAAGAGAGGAGAUGGGUGAGCCAAGCAGAACAGCCGUCUGUGAGUCACAGUUCCCAAAAACCAGCAAAUGGCCCAGCACCUGCUCGGCCACCCCCACCUGCUCCUGCCAGCCCUACCCGGGUCUUGGCCACUGGACAGUCACGGUGGGACCAGCCCAAAGUGACCACCCCCCCCCCCGCCCCAGAAGAAAGUGACAGAUGUUAGCGCCUGCGGGUUCUGCCCCACCCCUCCCAUCAACAGAUAUCAAGACAUGAAAAAUUGGGGUAAAUGAAGGGUGGGCGAUUAGGUCGGGCCCAAGCUGGGUUCUCGUGGGUGCCAGAGACAGCUGCAAAUGCCCGUCAGGGACACUUGCCCUGAUGCAGCGGGGCUGCCAAGCCAGGGUGCCUGGGGACAGCUGGACGAGGUGCCGACACGGGGCUCAUUCCUCCGUGAAGCCGUCCUGCAGCUGCUGGGAGUCCCGCCAGCCCCCGGGCCUGUGUGUGCCUCCGCCCGGGCUGUAUAGGAGGAGCCGUGCAUGGGACCCCCGGGCCGGGCUCCCUGCUUGGGGCUCUGGCUUAUCCACAGGUCUGUGGGAUGCCAGCCCCAGGCUUGAGCUGACGGGUCCUCUGGGGGAGCCUCUCUCUCUCUCUCUCUCUAGUCAAAUUCUGGGCUCGUCCUCCUGGCUCCAUCCAGGCCGGGGCUGGGCACCAACCCCUCCGUAACCAGCUUGACUUUUUCUCAGAGUUUGGCUUGAAAAUGUGGGCUCAGGAGCCCCGCCACCCACCCAGGCUCCCAGUGUGUGUGUGGGGGUAAAGCCCCCCCCCCCGACCCCUGUGUACCUGCGGUUUGCAGCCACUGAGCCCACGGGGUGAGGAAGCCAGCGAGCUGCCUCCCCAGCACCAGCCUCCACCCCUGCAGUUGCCUCAAGGUUUACAAAAAAG
RNAcentral lists this long non-coding RNA (3244 nucleotides) under Canis lupus familiaris (dog). RNAcentral describes it as "lncRNA (ENSCAFG00030014717.1)". Lineage: Eukaryota; Metazoa; Chordata; Mammalia; Carnivora; Canidae. The record is from RNAcentral.